UUCUAGACCUAGGGCCAAAAUUUCACCAGUAAAACUUUCAAAAUUCACUCGAAGUCGCCAAUAUUUUCGUAGUUUUGACCAUUUUUAUUUAUUUUUUUUUUUUUUUUUUAUCAAAAUCGAGUGAAUUAACGUAGUUUCAAUAAUUUAAAAUUGUCCAAAUUUUUACAACGCCUACAUCGGCGUGAUAUUUUCCAUAUCAUGUUACUAAUUGCUAUGGGUUUUCGCUUCACUUAGCAAAUCAUCGAAUGUCGUAACGAUUCCUGGCAACGUUAAAGCCAGUCGACUCAGCGUAGUAAAGGCGAGGGACUGUACCGCCUCAACGAAAUUAAUUUUCCAUCUCGUCGUCGUACCAUCACGUUAUCUACGAUUUUCAUCCGACGGUUCCAGUAUUUUCAAUCGACUCUUCAAAGAUAAAAAAUUGUAUACGAUUCAUUACGUCUUGCUAGUCGUUUUCUCGCACCUGUGUGUGCAAUCGAUGAUUUUCUUUUGUGAUGUUGAUGUAAACAGUGUAAUUUGUCCGAUUUGUAAUUCAUUCAAUGAUGUUAGAAUUGUGUAAAAUAUCAUGUACCCUGUAGUAACUAGUUUACGGUUACGUGACCGUUUUUUCAUUUUUCCUAUCUUGUUGUUUAUGUUUGUUUUUGUUUAAUUUUCAAUCUUUAUUUUUUCUUAAUUUUUAUUUUUUCGAAACACGUGGACCAAAAUUGUAAAUUUUUUCAAAAGAGGUGCUCAAUUUUUAAUUUUUAAGCAUUUGUUAUUGUUUUUAUAUAAAGCGCCAGUAAAAGAAGAUAAAAAAGAAGUCCACUAUUAAUUUGUAAAAAGUGUUUGUUUUAUGUAUUUUGAAUGUUUUUUGACGUAUUUUUUGACAGUUUUCAUUUUUAUCAACUCUUAAAUUUUUUGAUGUAAUUUCGCCCAUUUCUGCCACAGUGCAGUACAGCUGACCUGAAACAGAAUCCACUGCGAUUCGAAUAACGGUUCGCUCCUCUUGGCUUUUGUCUUAUCUCCAAUUUUGACCGGAAGGGUACUCCAGCCACUGCGCUGAAACAGAAAAAUUUCGAAUAGAUUAGGGAAAAGUCUUCUUUUUGGAAACUGUCUCGUAAGUAUACUGUACAUACCUGGUACACCUGGCUCAUGUGAGCUGCUCGCGCUUGCCUUCGGUUCUUGGAUCGCUGGUGGGCAGUGCAGUGCACUGAGUUCAGGGGUGGUAGACGAGUGCAGUUACUUACGUACGUGGGUGAAAAGUGUAUUUUCUCUGCUCCUACUUUCACACAGUGAAACACACGGGGGGCAGGGGACCGAUCCUACAUCGGGUCAAUCACCUUACAGGUGCGUCAUAUAACUCUCAUAAUAUCCGUAUGUUCCUCUGUGGCUACUCUCACGAGUAAACACACGAAGGGGCAUAUGUGAGAGGGAUAUAUGCCGUUCCUGUAAGGGAUAUUAGGGACAGAUUACCACCCUUGUGGUGGUAACACUGAACAGCGUCGCGAGCUGGACGUCGAGUCCGGUGAUCGGCGCUGCGGCCGUUAUUCGUCAUGUACUACUGUGUAGUGUCGGGUCAGUUAAUUUGAGUUUAUUGGGCACGUUCGCGUGAAUGGUUAAUUUGAACUUAUUAUUUCUUUGUAAUGUCAAUUUGAAUUUAUAUGGUUAAUUUGAGUUUAUCAGUGUAUUAAUUGUGUUAAACGGUUUCGCCGAAGAAGGCAAUUAUUAUAUUAUUGUUUCAUUGUGAAAUUGUGUUUAAAUCGACAUGUAUCGUAAUUGAAUACAUAAUUCUACCAACACCGCGUGUCGUGUAUUAUUCUGUGUAAUAUUAUUUACCAAUCUAGCCGGGGUAAGUCUCUUCUUAAUCCAUUAUAGGAAGUCAGCAUAAAGUAAUAUUUCACAACCCCUAAGAAAGUUUUCUACUAAAAUACUUUGGUUGGUCACAGUGAAUGAUAAUAAUAAUAGGGUAAUUCCACCAAUUUUACACUUUUUCGCGUUCCGAUUAGAAUAUUGUAUGAGUAGUGCUCAGAUUGAAAUUUUUUUUGCGUGGAAGUCAAUCAUUGUCACCCCCUCUAUCAUCCCACAACAUUGUUGAGUUCCUCAUAUACCCCCCUUAACAGUGAAUUUUCCACUGCCGUGGCUGUAGUACACCUUGUUUUGAAAUAAUUAUAUUUUUAUUCUCGGAAGUGAAUUGAAGUUCUGCAAAAACAAAUAUGAUUUUUCCAUGUUAAAAAAGCUCGUUUAACACAGGUCACUUAUAGAAUUUAGCCACAUGCCUCUAAUAAGGUCUGAGGUGACCUCAAACCUGUGUAGUACAGUUUUAUUCCACUGCCGUGGUCAAUUUUUGUUUCUUUGGUAUGACUAACUGUUUCACAUUUUUUGUGUUCAAAAAUAACUACACUGCUUCUUGUAGGUCACAAAGAAUCUCAUCCACCAAUAAAACUUUGUUUCCAAGUAGUUCUAUCUAGCUGAGGAAUGAAAAUCUUCAAAAACUGUGUUGUUUACAUUUUUUCACCUCCACUGCCGUGGGCAAUCACCAAUCAAAUAUGUGCAGCUACAAAAUUUCAAAUAUGCCGAAAAAUAUUUAUUGGUAAAGUACUAAAGCAGAUCCUUUACAAAAAAUUUUUAAAAAAUGAGUUUGAGACAUCGUUGAGGAGUCUUAAAUGCCAGAUAUUCCACUGCCGUGGGCAAUUGAUUUGUUUCCACUGCCGUGGCAAGUACACAAUUUUUGCCUAUUCAUUUCUAAAAAUGAUCAAAAGUUGUUAAUUUGACACCAAUAUUUCCUGAUCUAACUACAACAAUUACUUUAUGCCUGUAUUGGUGCCAAAAAAUUGUAAAAAUUAAAUUUUUCUUGUUUUUUAUUUUUUUUUCAAAAAAUUUUUCCCGAUUUUUUUUUAUUUUUUCAAUUUUUGAAUUUAUUUGGUGUUUUUCUUUUCAAAUGUUCGCGUGUAGUUUCUAUUUUUGUAUUAGUUCAAUUCUUGAGCCUUGCCAACGUUGAAAUAUGCUGCUGUUGCUGACCACAGCGUGUGUAAUCCGCCAUCUUGUUUGGCCACGGUAGUGGAAAAUUACACUGCCGUGGCCAACCACGGCAGGUGGAAAAUUUGAAAUGGCUCUCCCCCCUCCCCCAAGAGGUAUGAAUUGAGCAGAACACUAUAAGUGAAGUCUAGGGUAGGUGUACUAUCAAUUCCACACAAAAAAAAAUUCUCAAAGCACUUUUUAAAAAUUUUUUUUUAGAGGUAUUUAAAAAGUGUAAAAUUGGUGGAAUCACCCAAUAGCAGAUGAUUGGUUGUUGGACUGGAGAGAUAACAUUCCACCAAUCAUAUGCAUCUAUUUCACGUUGCCAACCUAUAUUUUUAAUGAAAAACUUUCUUAGGGGUGCUCGAUAUUUCUGGGCACCCUGUAAUAUGUACAUUUUCAACGUCUGCGCAUCUGUUGCAUGAACAUUUCAAAUAUCAGGAAAUUAUUGGUUACGAAUUUAAAGACUUUUUUAAAUCAAAAUUUUUAGUUCGAUUUCUGCGUGGUGUCUUUGGAUUUCCUCGACAACUGUCACGCUCUAGGAAAGAGUUGUCCAUAACGCCAGAACUACGAGUACCUAUACGUGUAAGUGGGAUCUGAAAAAGGUGAGCUUUUCAAUGUAAUUUUGAGAAGGAGUUUUUGUAAGUAUGUAAUAUGCAAAAAGAAUUUUCGAUUCACAAAGUAGAAUACCUACCUAUUUUAGCUUCAAUAUGCAUUCAAAAAAUCGAUCAUGGGGUAAUUAUUUAUUUUAUAGUGUUGAUGUUUGAAAAUUGUCACUGAAGCCGAAGUAAGGUAUUCUACUUUUUGAAUCAAAAAAUCUUUUUGCAUACUUAUUAAAUCUAAAACUACUUUUCAAAAUCAAAGUUGUAUUUAAAAUUGAAAAACUUGUUUUUUUUUCGAUCCCUUUUUUCUUGACAGUUCAUUUCAUUCGGACCGGAUGGACCGGGCAUUCACGUAGAGGGCGCUAAUGAGCUGCUGUAAUGUUUACAUUUUCAGACGGGGCUUUUCUUGUUUUCUUUACGAAAACAUUGAUCUGAAAUUGAAUGUUUGAAUGGUUUAAAAGUGAUAAAAUAAUUAUUAGAGGUAAUUAUUUUUAUUAUUAUUAUUGCAGAUUAAUUUAAUAGUGAUCAAAUCAUAUUUACACUUUUAACUCGUAAAAAAAAAACUGAUAAGAAAAUCACCGCCUGAAAGUCAAAAAGUGGCACACAAGUGCUCUACGUGAGUGUGCGGUUCGAACAAAGACCAUAGGUCUUUGGGUUCAAAUUAGCCAAUCAGAAUCGAGAUGAAAACAAGGCGACGCUAGCGCUGCUCAGGGCUGUCGAAUUCCUUAAUCCUUAUUCCUAAUUAAUCCUAUAGUAUUUUAUAUGGUGUUAUCACUCGGUAGAAUUCCCAGCGUGUUGUUAAGCGAUAGGAAGAAUUAUCCACAUUACGAGUAAUGGAGUAAAUCAUUCCUGAUCCUGUUCAAGAUCUUGACGAAGCUCGAUUGGUAUUUAGAGUUGGAAUAAGUAUUAGUCUAUGUUCAUCUUGUCGUUCUGCAAACCUGCGUGUGAAGUAUGUCGAAUUAUAUCGAAAAAGCUGAAAACAAAGGAAUCAACGAUUAUUCCAAGUUCGAUGAAAAAAAUUGUACUUACACGUGGAUAAUCGACAACUAUCGAGCGCGAGGAGAUAACUUUCAAUCCCCGGCUUUCACAGCUGAUGGCGAUGAUUUCAAGUGGCGUUUGGAACACAGAAUAUCGAGGACAAGAAUUCCCUCUUCGGUAAUCAUCUAUUUACGUCCAGAUUCUGACGCUGAUUAUAAAAAGUACAGCUCUGUAUCUGGAAAUUUGAGUGUUUCAGUGAUCACCGGUAAGCUGAGGUUAGAAUUUGAAUAUUCUUCACCUGAUCAAUCUUCCUUCGAGCUUAUCUCUAAUGAAACCGAGAAGAACCGAUCUCCUGAAUUUAAUUUUGGCGACCUUUCUAUGAUUCUGAAACUGCUACAGAACGAUGAAAUGCAUGUUGUCUGCGAAUUGAAAUACUCGAAAACAAUCAAUACUACUUCUCAUGAUAAUUCUGCCUUCGAGUCGAGUCUAUCACGUGACCUCGAACGGAUUCGUAUUGAUGAAGAUUUCAGCGAUGUGACUAUUUCAGUCGAUGGUAAAAAUUAUCCGGCUCAUAAAUUGAUUUUAGCCGCUCGAAGUUCGGUUUUCAAAGCCAUGUUCAAAAAUGAUAUGAGAGAAAGCCAGAAAAAUCACAUUACGAUCACAGAUAUGGAAAAAGAAACAUUCGAAGAAAUGUUACACUACAUUUACUCUGGAAAGGUUAGGAAUUUGGAAAAAUCGGCCUUCGAAUUACUCCUCGUUGCGGAUAAAUACGACCUUGAAGAACUUAAAAACGCGUGUGAACGACUUUUGAUCACAAAAAUAUCAGCAGAAAAUGUAGGCAAGAUUUUAGUACUGGCUGAUAUGCAUAAUGCUGAAGAAUUAAAGGGACGUGCUCUACGAUUCAUUAAAGAGAAUCCUGCCAAUUUCGAGACAGAGAUAUGGAAUGUUUUGACAGAAUCCCGUCCUGGUUUGAUGAAAGAUAUUCUAGCUAUGUUUUUAAAGAAAUGAACGAUAUCGUCUUAGAUAAUAAUUCAAGAAAAUGGAAGUUUAGAAUGUUUACAGUUUCUUACAUCUCGUUCAUUUCUCAAAACACAUUGUGCGAUGAAUUGACAGAAAUUGGAAAAUUUUCACGAUACUCGUACUUAGUCUAUAGUCUUAUCUUCAGUUGACAAAAGGUUUGUUAAUCCGUUUUGGGGGGGGGCUGGCUUGAUUUUUCCCCUCGAAAAUUAAAGGAUAUAAGUACAUGGUAUACAAGAUACGAGUGCCUGUACAAAUAAACUUUAGUAAUUGAAUGUUUUAAUUGUAAUGGGUCAUAAGUGCCCGAACUUUAGAUUACAGAUCAUUUUUAUUUUACGUAAUUUUAGCUCCUUAUCCAUUUUGAAAAUUAAUUAUGUAUUAGGUUGCCUACCUAUCCUUUAAAAAACAGGAUUUUUCAGAUCAUUUUCAACUUUCCGUCUCAAAAUUGAGGAGAUUAACGAGGUGGAAAGGAAUGCAUUUGAAUGUACGUGUUCCAAAACUGAAACACGACAUUACUUAAAAUAGGUAUUGAAAAUUAAUUUUUUAAAUCUUUGAUUGAUAUAAACUCAUCUGAAUGACUCGUGAAAGUUCGUCGAUAUUGCUGCUCGGUACCUUGAAAUGAAAAUAGGAUUAUUAAGGUUAUAUAAGUAAGUAUCUGUAGCUAAUGUGAAAUUAUUCUUUAAGUAGGUAUGUAUUUCAAUUUUCAAAUCUUGAAUAAUCCUUAUACUUAAUCAUGGAUCCUCAUGAAAUCAUGAUCAUUACAUGAAAAAUGAAAAUUAAUUCAUAAAAAUAAAUGUUCUUAAGUAUUUAUUGUGUCUAGAGUUAUAGAAUAUGUGUUUUUUAUAAUUAAAAAUGAUAGGUACGAGUAUGUACCAACUUAUUGUGUGUUUUUGAUUUUAUCCAAUUUGCAUUUUUGUUCAAGAAAAGUAAACUGCAGGGUUAUCUGCCGAUCAACUUCGACAUGAAUUUUGGCUUCAUCAAAAUUGCUAAAAAUUGUCAGUUUUAUGCAAAAAAUUUCAAAAUUUCAUUGUUGCAAAAAAAAAUCGCGAAAAAAAUAGAUAUUGUUUUUUGCCAGUAUCCAAAAAGUCUUGUUUUUUGGCAAAAUAUGUAAAAAAUUUUUGCUUUUCCAAAAAUUGACAAAAAUUUUCAAAUUUUAGCAAAACUGCAAAAAAUUGUGUUUCCAAAAAAUUCUCUUUUUUCUAAAAAUUGUCCAAAAGUUUUGCUUUUUUUUGCCAAAAGUUGCAAAAAAGGUAUCUUUUCGGUGCGAAUAUUGACAAAAAUCCUGUUCUUUGCUAAAAUUUGUUGAAGUGUUGCUUUUUCAGGGAGUCUAACUAACGGUCAUGGAAGUCAUGAAAAAGUCAUGAAUUUUGCUCGAAACACACUUAAAUUUUUUUUUAAAAGCCCAUAAAAUGAAAAAAAAUCAAAAAUUUGUUGAAAAAAAUCAGAAAAAUUAAAAAUUGAAAUACCUACUUGCUUACAAAUUAAAAAAAUCUUUCUCGUAGUUUCGAGUUAUUUAUUUUUUAUUUUUGGAGGGGGUGAGGGGGUAUUUGCAUGCGGUAAAAAUGUGAAAAUAGGUCAUGAAAAAGUGAUGAUUUUUUUUGUCUGGGAGUUUUUUUAAACAUCCUGUUUUUCCAAAAAAAAAUCGCAAAAAUUCUCUAAGGUAAGGUUGGCAACGUGAAUUAGAUGCGUAUGCAUGGUGGAAUGUUAUCUGUCCAGUCCAACAACCAAUCAUGUGCUAUCAUUAUUAUCAUUCACUGUGACCUGCCAAAAUAUUUAGCAAAAAACUUUCUUAGGGGUUCACGAUAUUUCUGGGCACCCUGUAUGUAUAUAUAUAAGGCGCGAAUAAGCAGGUGUCCGAAACAUCAACCCAUUCCCUAUCGUUUCAAGUCUUAGCAACUUCAGAACCAAUUUUUCAUCCCUGCAAUAAAACUUAGACAACUGUCUAGAGCUCAACUGGCAAAAAGUACUCUAGAAAUUAAAGGCUGUUAUUACUUCUACGUACCUACACAUAAGUUACGAAAAAUUCGUUUAGGUACAGUCUUUUGUACGCAGAUGAUAUGGGCCACACAAAGAGUAUUUAGGAUUUUCGCAAUCGUACAAUAAGAGGGGGUGGGUAAAGUCCGAAAGCCUUUGUUUUAUAUGUACAAUGUUCAUUGUUCACUUCUGCAGCUGGCUAGUUGCCUGAUAGUGCGCUAAGACAUCUCAAACGUGAUUUUCGGUUAAAUUUAGCACAAAUAACGGUAACGAACUUCAUCAAAAAACAGCGUUCGAUUCUCCUAGCGGCCGGGGGGCGGGGGGCGAAAUUACAUCUUAUAAGAAGAGUUCUGAUUGGUUGAUUUAAAUCUUGCGGGCGCGCGAGAUUCAAACCGGUUACAAACUAACCAAUCAGAAUGUUUAUGAUGAGAGUUAGUUUGGCCCCCAGCUGUUCAGAUGGCGUAUUUGUUGCAACAAAAACACUCAAUGUACCUACCUAUUUAUUUUGAGAGGAGUUCAUUGCAAAUAAGUACCUGUUACAGUCUGUGUGAUCUGAAUCCGAUUCUACUCGUACAUAUUUUCAUCUCGUUGUUCUGCAAGCUUGCGUGUGAACCAUGUCGAAUUAUGAUGAAAAUAAUGGAAUCAAUGGCAAUUCGAAGUUCGAUGAGAAAAAAUGUGUUUAUACAUGGGUAAUCGACAACUAUCGCGCAAUAGAAGAUAGCUUUCAAUCUCCGGUGUUUACAGCUGAUGGCGAUGAUUUCAAAUGACGUUUGGAACAUAGAAUCUCGAGGAAAAAAGAUAACGCUUCGUCAGUCGUCAUCUAUUUACAUCCUGAUUCGGACACCGAUUUUCAAAAAUACAGCCCUGUAUCUGGAAAUGUGAUGAUCUCACUUCUCUUUGGUAAACUGUGCUUACGAGUUAGUAAACAUGUUGAAUCUCCCUUUGUGCUGAUUUCCGAUGAAACCGGGAAGAACCGAUGUCUUGAAUUUAAUUUUGGCGAUCUUUCUAUCAUUCUGAAGCAGAUCAAUAAAAUGUAUGUUGUUUGCGAGUUGACAUAUCGAAAACAAUCUAUACUAAGUCUCAUAUAUCUGCCUUGGAGUCGAGCCUACCACGUGACCUCGAACAGAUUCGCAUGAAUGAAGAUUUCAGCGAUGUAACCAUCUCAGUGAAAGGUAAAAAUUACCCGGCUCAUAAAUUGAUUUUAGCCGCUCGAAGUUCGGUUUUCAAAGCCAUGUUUCGAAACGAUAUGCAAGAAAGCCAGAAGAAUCGCAUUGUAAUCAACGAUAUAGAAGAAGAAACCUUUGAGGAAAUGUUACACUACAUUUACACCGGAAAAGUGAAGAAUUUGGAAGAAUCGGCCUUCGAAUUACUUUCUGUUGCGGAUAAAUACGAUCUGAAAGAAUUGAAAAACGCUUGUGAAGGAAUUUUACUCUCAAAAUUAUCAGCAGACAACGUAGGCAAGAUUUUAGUACUGGCUGAUAUGCAUAAUGCUGAAGAAUUAAAGGCGAAUGCUCUACGAUUCAUCAAAGCGAAAUAUUCUAAUUGCGGGAAUUAUGAAAAUACGGAAAUGUGGAAAAUAUUGACCGAAUCUCGUCCUAGUUUGAUGAAAGAUAUGCUAGCUAUGGUUUUCAACAAGUAAAGGAAUAAUUAACGAUAUCGUAUUAGGCAGGUAUAGGUAGGUAAGGUAUAGUUUUUUAUUCAAAAUUGACUCCGGAGAUUUGGAAUGUUAAGAGGUUAAGACUGAAAACAUGAUUUGUAUAUUAUAUUAUGUAUUAUGUAGCCUAUUAUUCGUUAUCAAUAAUCUAUGGAAUAUAAUUCUUUUUAUAACCCUUGCCUGAAAAUUAGUUCAUACAAUAAUGUGUUCUUAUUGGUUAUUUUUUAAGAAUUAUAUAUAUACCUAAGUAGGUAGGUUUAUUCUUAAUUUAAAAUUAUACUCAUUAUUAUUGUUUCGUAUGUAUUUUAUACAAUUAUUUAUAUCAUCGUUUGAUUCAUUUUUAUUCAAUUAUUAUUUUAUA
Planococcus citri (citrus mealybug) is the source of this 9577-nucleotide RNA transcript. It is a transcript of the gene named speckle-type POZ protein-like, with no coding region annotated. Lineage: Eukaryota; Metazoa; Arthropoda; Insecta; Hemiptera; Pseudococcidae. The record is from RefSeq and is a predicted model, not a curated record. The transcript is spliced from 3 exons.